AAAGAUGUAGCGCAGCUUGGUAGCAUGCUUGUUUUGGGUAUAAAAUACCACAGGUUUAAAUCCUGUCAUCCCUG
RNAcentral lists this transfer RNA (74 nucleotides) under Leersia perrieri. It matches the Rfam family "tRNA". Rfam says of the family: Transfer RNA (tRNA) molecules are approximately 80 nucleotides in length. Their secondary structure includes four short double-helical elements and three loops (D, anti-codon, and T loops). The record is from Rfam by way of RNAcentral. Lineage: Eukaryota; Viridiplantae; Streptophyta; Magnoliopsida; Poales; Poaceae.